This 253-nucleotide ribosomal RNA is filed under the name uncultured bacterium. RNAcentral's name for it is "partial 16S ribosomal RNA". It matches the Rfam family "Bacterial small subunit ribosomal RNA", at positions 524 to 776 of the family's 1533-position model. The record is from RNAcentral.
UACGUAGGGUGCAAGCGUUGUCCGGAAUUAUUGGGCGUAAAGAGCUCGUAGGCGGUCUGUCGCGUCGGCUGUGAAAACCCGGGGCUCAACCCCGGGCCUGCAGUCGAUACGGGCAGACUAGAGUGCGGUAGGGGAGGCUGGAAUUCCUGGUGUAGCGGUGGAAUGCGCAGAUAUCAGGAGGAACACCGGUGGCGAAGGCGGGUCUCUGGGCCGUAACUGACGCUGAGGAGCGAAAGCGUGGGGAGCGAACAGG